Molecule: ribosomal RNA, 463 nt
Filed under: uncultured bacterium
Lineage: Bacteria
Description: bacterial SSU rRNA
Rfam family: Bacterial small subunit ribosomal RNA
Source: RNAcentral
GACGAACGCUGGCGGCGUGCCUAACACAUGCAAGUCAACUUGACUGAAGGAGCAAUCUGACAGUAGAGUGGCGCAAGGGUGCGUAACGCGUAAGUAACUUGCCCCAAGGUAAGGAAUAACGUCGAGAAAUCGGCGCUAAUACCUCAUAAUGCAGCGGAUCCGCAUGGAUAUGUUGUUAAAGGUUUACCGCCUUGGGAUAGGCUUGCGUCUGAUUAGCUAGUUGGUGUGGUAACGGCACACCAAGGCUACGAUCAGUAACUGGUCUGAGAGGAUGAUCAGUCACACUGGAACUGAGACACGGUCCAGACUCCUACGGGAGGCAGCAGUGAGGAAUAUUGGGCAAUGCUCGAAAGAGUGACCCAGCAACGCCGCGUGGAGGAUGAAGGUAUUCUAUAUCGUAAACUCCUGUGAGAGCAGACGAAAGACAGAUUAUUAAUCUAGAUGACUGUAUGCUCAGAGGAAG